UCCCCUGUGGCGCAAUUGGCUAGCGCGUAAGACUGUUAACUUCUGAAUUUCACUUAUAGUUCCGCGAUCUUGAGGUUGGAGAUUCAACCCCUCCUGGGGGAG
Non-coding RNA from Trichophaea hybrida, 102 nucleotides. The record is from the annotation of a GenBank genome assembly. NCBI's taxonomy places the organism in Eukaryota, Fungi, Ascomycota, Pezizomycetes, Pezizales, Pyronemataceae.